Molecule: unclassified non-coding RNA, 291 nt
Filed under: plant metagenome
Description: partial contains small subunit ribosomal RNA, internal transcribed spacer 1, and 5.8S ribosomal RNA
Rfam family: Eukaryotic small subunit ribosomal RNA (bases 1-54)
Source: RNAcentral
GGGAGUAAAAGUCGUAACAAGGUUUCCGUAGGUGAACCUGCGGAAGGAUCAUUAAUGAGUUGUCAUGGGGUUCGAUGCUGGCAGCCAAUUUUUGGAUGCAUGUGCUUGCCCUAACAAUCAUCUUCCAAACACCUGUGCACAUUUUUGAGGGAGUCUUGAGUUGGUUGCCGCUCUUGGGUGAUUUUCUCACAUUCCCUUAAAUCAUUAUACGCUAUUAACAAUGUUGAACGUGCUCUGUGCCGCAAGGCUAUUAAUAUAAUACAACUUUUAACAACGGAUCUCUUGGCUCUC